RNAcentral lists this transfer RNA (73 nucleotides) under Phaethon lepturus (White-tailed tropicbird). It matches the Rfam family "tRNA". Rfam says of the family: Transfer RNA (tRNA) molecules are approximately 80 nucleotides in length. Their secondary structure includes four short double-helical elements and three loops (D, anti-codon, and T loops). Lineage: Eukaryota; Metazoa; Chordata; Aves; Phaethontiformes; Phaethontidae. The record is from Rfam by way of RNAcentral.
GGGGAAUUAGCUCAAGUGGUAAAGCGCUCGCUUGGCAUGUGAGAGGCAGCGGGACCAAUGGCCGCAUUCUCCA